GAUGAACGCUGGCGGCGUGCCUAAUACAUGCAAGUAGAACGCUGAAGGAGGAGCUUGCUCUUCUGGAUGAGCUGCGAACGGGUGAGUAACGCGUAGGUAACCUGCCUGGUAGCGGGGGAUAACUAUUGGAAACGAUAGCUAAUACCGCAUGACAACAGUUAUUGCAUGAUAACUGUUUAAAAGGGGCAACUGCUCCACUACCAGAUGGACCUGCGUUGUAUUAGCUAGUUGGUGAGGUAACGGCUCACCAAGGCGACGAUACAUAGCCGACCUGAGAGGGGGAUCGGCCACACUGGGACUGAGACACGGCCCAGACUCCUACGGGAGGCAGCAGUAGGGAAUCUUCGGCAAUGGACGGAAGUCUGACCGAGCAACGCCGCGUGAGUGAAGAAGGUUUUCGGAUCGUAAAGCUCUGUUGUAAGAGAAGAACGAGUGUGAGAGUGGAAAGUUCACACUGUGACGGUAUCUUACCAGAAAGGGACGGCUAACUACGUG
Molecule: ribosomal RNA, 495 nt
Filed under: uncultured bacterium
Lineage: Bacteria
Description: partial 16S ribosomal RNA
Rfam family: Bacterial small subunit ribosomal RNA
Source: RNAcentral